CCUACGGGUGGCAGCAGUGGGGAAUAUUGGACAAUGGGGGGAACCCUGAUCCAGCCAUGCCGCGUGUGUGAAGAAGGCCCUCGGGUUGUAAAGCACUUUCAGCGAGGAAGAACGCCUGGUGGUUAAUACCCAUCAGGAAAGACAUCACUCACAGAAGAAGCACCGGCUAACUCCGUGCCAGCAGCCGCGGUAAUACGGAGGGUGCGAGCGUUAAUCGGAAUUACUGGGCGUAAAGCGCGCGUAGGUGGCUUGAUAAGCCGGUUGUGAAAGCCCCGGGCUCAACCUGGGAACGGCAUCCGGAACUGUCAAGCUAGAGUGCAGGAGAGGAAGGUAGAAUUCCCGGUGUAGCGGUGAAAUGCGUAGAGAUCGGGAGGAAUACCAGUGGCGAAGGCGGCCUUCUGGACUGACACUGACACUGAGGUGCGAAAGCGUGGGUAGCAAACAGGAUUAGAUACCCCUGUAGUC
RNAcentral lists this ribosomal RNA (465 nucleotides) under Vreelandella stevensii. Its description in RNAcentral is "partial 16S ribosomal RNA". It matches the Rfam family "Bacterial small subunit ribosomal RNA", at positions 338 to 795 of the family's 1533-position model. Lineage: Bacteria; Pseudomonadati; Pseudomonadota; Gammaproteobacteria; Oceanospirillales; Halomonadaceae. The record is from RNAcentral.